UCUAGGCCAUGGCCCUACUGAGACCAGCUCAGUUUAUGUUUUGAUAUAAGUAGGCUCAGUUUUAGCUUCAGCUGUCUCAGUCAAGGGUCUGCCCAAGAAAUUGUCAAAUCUUUAAAGGCACUGAAAUGAUGAAGCUCAAGGUGCUGAAGGUUUCCUGGAGCUUGCUGUCUUAGCGUGAUGGACCACAGCACCAAUGUAGGCACACAGUUUGUGGUAAUUGGGACUGGGGCUGUGGUGGAGCUUCAUUCCCAAUGGGCUGCAGCUGUGCAGGACAGGUGAGCAGCAUUGAAGGCAAUGAGACCUGGAGUGCUGAGGUGCACUGACCAAUCACCAAAGGAUACAGAGGCCUCACAGGUGCAAUGCAUGAACAAAAGGGGUAUAAAAGGUUGGACUGGAAAGCAGUAAAGAGUAGAUGCUUGAAGCUUUCUGAGGUGGUGUGGUGUUACUCCGAAUGGACUGAUGCUUUCUGAGAUGGUCUCUAGAAAGAUUUACUAGUCGUGGUGAGCAUGAGACAGAGCAGAUUCACUCAGCUCUUUGAACCACAGUUAACAUCCUAGGACCAGAGAAUGACAGGAUCUUGCUGGCAUCGACUCCCACAGCAAUAUCUAUUUACUGUUUAGAUGCAGAGUGUAGCCUUUAUGUUGUGCAGCUUGUUGUGCCAGCUGAUGGAUCAGAAGAAUAAAUAUCAAACCAUCAUUCAGUGUCUUUGGAUGUACCUUUUUGCAUGAUCAGCAUUUCUGUAAAUCUGGAUCUCAGUAAAUGGAUGCACAUAAUGUCCAGUGAUCAGCUGUGAGUUCAGUUUGCUGAAGAGAGCUCCAGGACUGAGGAGAUAAAGACCAAAUCAGUCAGGUCUUUGAGGAAGGCGCUGAACUGCCUUAGCCAUACCACCAUCCUUCUGUCUCCUGCAGUCCUGGAACUCAUUUGGUGCAAACAUUCCUAAGUCCUGUAACCGAGGGUGCAGUUAUCCUACUGCAAUGGGUGACUCCCAGGAGAUAAAUCUUUCCAUCUGGUGCUUGGAAGAAGUCAGACUCCCUCUGGAAUGAGGGAGAGGUGCAGAAAAACUGAAUGAUACCUCAGUAGAGUUGAAUGCAAGAGUGGGAAUAGCAGAAGCUGUAAGAGAUUGAAGCAGGGAAUUGAUGAGAUGCAGCAUGGAAGUAGUCUGAAGUUUGGUGAUGUUUUAUAUGGAAGUGAAAAGGGAUGUUUCAGCUAACAAAGUGUAGCAGCCUACUUGCUGUUUCGCCUGUCUUCUAAUCUUAUCUCUCAAAAGUAGAUAAGUUUUAGUUUCAUUCUGUAUUCAUGGGAAGUGCAAUGCCCACGGUCAGGAGGUGAACCCAGGUGUCCUGAGUUUUAGCCCAGAGUUCUGUCUGAUGGAGCACAGUUGGGAGCCACAUACAGAUGAUUAGUUGCCUAUCUACUAAACAGUAGUUGGGCUGGCAGCCCUGUAAAACUGUGCUGUUAUUCCAGGCUUAAUUAUCGGUUUGACAUAAUGCUACUGAAUGAGUGUAAACUUCUAAAAAAUUAGAGAUUUGCUGCAUUAUGCACUGUACUUUCUCUGUUAGUGAGAAUUCAAAUUCAGAAUUUUGUAAUUCAAAGCAAAUUAUAGAACAGACACUUGGUGUACAGGGACAGUUCCAGAUGACAAUUAAUGUACUGUCUCAUACAUGCUUUUUGAGUAACAGUAAAGUUGAGAGCCUGUAAUCGUUAAGGAGGUACACUGUUCAAAAUCCAGAUGAAGAGAUAGAUUAGCACUGUCACUUCAUUGAUUAGUACUCCCAUUUGUUUGAAUUUCAAUGCCAAAACGCAAUAGAUGACAUGAUGCAAAGAGAACAGUGCAUUGUAGUUGCUGUAGUUGUGAUGUCUGACUUUAUGCAGUUAUACAACAAUGUUCUAGUACCCAAGAAAUUCUGCAGUGUAAUUCAAAUGCUAUAAAUUGAUCUGAGUUCAUUGUUUCUUCUUAUGGCGAGGCUGCUCAAAAUGAAUGCUAAAACAUUUUGGAAAGAAUUUCCCCAGUAAUUGGUUUAUUGUGUUUCUGUUUAAGUGCAGUUUACUGAAGUAUUCAUCUAAAGGAAAUACUGCCAAUCUCUUCUGAUGUGUACAUUAAUUUAUUUUAGUGCACAUUAAGGAAAAUAUCUUGUCACCCAACUCUCUCUGAGUGGCAUGAUAUGCUUUGAGUUUGCAAUAUAUCUGUUUGGAAUAAAACAACUCCCAUUCAUUCUGCAUUUUCAGUGUACUCAAUUCCACAUGUAGCACCUAUAUAAACAGCCUUAAAAUAUUGCCUGAACUCUCCUUUACGAAGUCAUUGGAGCAUUAUCUUGACGUCCUUGGGACCUCUGUUACCCAAAUGACAUAAUAACCAGAAUAGCCCAUCUGUUGAACCUGGCUUAUCUAGGACGCGCUGUGGGCAGUUUCAGCCAGCUGAGAUUCCCAGCUACCUUGUGAGGAGAAAUGAAAGA
Non-coding RNA from Zonotrichia albicollis (white-throated sparrow), 2453 nucleotides. The record is from RefSeq and is a predicted model, not a curated record. NCBI's taxonomy places the organism in Eukaryota, Metazoa, Chordata, Aves, Passeriformes, Passerellidae.